ACUUGAUGAUGUGGACAUUUACGUAGAAGGUCCCUAAAACGCUCCAAAGUCUCAAAGAAUUGCUCACCGUCUAUCUAGGAAAAACUAGUGAUUACCUUCCUAAGCU
Malania oleifera is the source of this 106-nucleotide small nucleolar RNA. NCBI's taxonomy places the organism in Eukaryota, Viridiplantae, Streptophyta, Magnoliopsida, Santalales, Ximeniaceae. The record is from RefSeq and is a predicted model, not a curated record.